CCUAGGAAGAGCCUACCAGGUCAAGAUAUCGAUGUGAUGGGACAAGCAAAGCAGGAGGGAGUCGAGGUGGGGAAACGGACCCGGCGUAUUCGGAGGUAGCAAGGGGCGGGAGGCGGCGGAGGUCAGUCGUCAGGGGGCGGAGGCUGGUUCCGCGAGAGCGGCCGGCGGUAGUGGUCCGCUUCCCCGAGAGAAGAGGAGAUGGUUGACCGCGCCGCGCUCCUUGAUUGGCAGUUCCGCAUAAAGGAUAACCACCAUUUAUUCCCUCGGGAUCGAAAGGGUCCCAUAGUACACGGACGAGUGGACAUAGUGACACAACCAGUACCCUUACAUUUUGGUCGUUGGACUUUCAAGGUUUGAGGUCUUAAAUCAAUAAAUGAACUUGACCCGGUACCUAGCCUUCUUAGUUUGAGGUGUCCCAGUUUAACGUGUUCACUAACAACUUAAAGAUCUCCAACGACAGUCGAGGUAACAGAAGGAGUUUCCAAAGAUAGGGUGAGCACGUAAACUCUCCUCUUCCAUGUACUUAUAUCAACAGGUCUUUCGACACGUGGGGGUCGAACGACUGAUGUAGGUGAGACACUAAUGACCGGAAGAUGGAAAGUAUGUUUUCCCUGACCAACUCUCCCAGCAUCAUUAGAAGGUGCUGUUUCUAGUACAUGGUGAGCUCUUCAAACACAAGUUCGAACGUCACUUGGUUAGGAUACCGAGGCUCAAUCUCCUCAGGUCGGACCUUAAACGAGACGCCCGCAAGAACUAGUUUGACUGGCAGCGACCUGGAGAAUGUUUCGGGGAAGGUAGUCUAUCGUCGACCCUCUAGUGGCGGAUGAAGGCUAGGGAGGGACGUCUGCCACGCUUCCUGUUCCUCCUCCUGCUCCGAGCCGACACCUAGCGGUGCCUGUGGUUCCGCACCUACGUCGGCGGCGUCUAUUGGGGGUAGUUCAGUUACUCCACACUAGGAAACUUCUACGUCGAGAUGGAUCUUGUUGGACCUGGUAGUCGUCUCCGUCUCCUAGGACGAAGCAUCGCUGCUUGGUGAUCGGAGGGAGGGACCAAGUACAUACGAGCGUUCAGCUCGUCUUGUAUUAGACUAUAAACACCCGUUAGACCGGGUCAACGCUUGUUCCAGCGACAGAAAUAAUAAAACACCGACAACAAUACCACUUAGACCUGUUCCCUGUCCAACUCGACAAGAACUCAUCUGGGCCCCCUUCCUUCUGUAUCUCGUCUCCACCAAUACAUUACACUUUU
RNAcentral lists this ribosomal RNA (1248 nucleotides) under Triticum aestivum (bread wheat). Its description in RNAcentral is "partial small subunit ribosomal RNA". The record is from RNAcentral. Lineage: Eukaryota; Viridiplantae; Streptophyta; Magnoliopsida; Poales; Poaceae.